GAUGAACGCUGGCGGCGUGCUUAACACAUGCAAGUCGAACGAUGAAGCCGGAGCUUGCUCUGGUGAAUUAGUGGCGAACGGGUGAGUAACACGUGAGUAACCUGCCCUUGACUCUGGGAUAACUGCUAGAAAUGGUAGCUAAUACCGGAUACGACCCGCGGAGGCAUCUUCAGGGGGGGGAAAGAAUUUCGGUCAAGGAUGGACUCGCGGCCUAUCAGCUAGUUGGGAGGGUAAUGGCUCACCAAGGCGACGACGGGUAGCCGGCCUGAGAGGGUGACCGGCCACACUGGGACUGAGACACGGCCCAGACUCCUACGGGAGGCAGCAGUGGGGAAUAUUGCACAAUGGGCGCAAGCCUGAUGCAGCAACGCCGCGUGAGGGAUGACGGCCUUCGGGUUGUAAACCUCUUUUAGUAGGGAAGAAGCGAAAGUGACGGUACCUGCAGAAAAAGCACCGGCUAACUACGUGCCAGCAGCCGCAGUAA
Molecule: ribosomal RNA, 484 nt
Filed under: uncultured bacterium
Lineage: Bacteria
Description: partial 16S ribosomal RNA
Rfam family: Bacterial small subunit ribosomal RNA
Source: RNAcentral